GGUUCCAUAGUGUAGCGGUUAGCACGUCUGCUUUACACGCAGAAGGUCCUGGGUUUGCGCUCCAGUGUAUUCA
This 73-nucleotide transfer RNA is filed under the name Pteropus alecto (black flying fox). It matches the Rfam family "tRNA". From Rfam's summary of the family: Transfer RNA (tRNA) molecules are approximately 80 nucleotides in length. The record is from Rfam by way of RNAcentral. Lineage: Eukaryota; Metazoa; Chordata; Mammalia; Chiroptera; Pteropodidae.